GAGGGUAUAGCUCAGUGGUAGAGCACGUGCUUAGCAUGCAUGAGGUCCUGGUUCGAUUCCCCAGUACCUCCA
This 72-nucleotide transfer RNA is filed under the name Camelus bactrianus (Bactrian camel). It matches the Rfam family "tRNA". Rfam says of the family: Transfer RNA (tRNA) molecules are approximately 80 nucleotides in length. Their secondary structure includes four short double-helical elements and three loops (D, anti-codon, and T loops). The record is from Rfam by way of RNAcentral. RNAcentral also lists the same sequence under 3 other names. Lineage: Eukaryota; Metazoa; Chordata; Mammalia; Artiodactyla; Camelidae.